CCUACGGGAGGCAGCAGUGGGGAAUUUUGGACAAUGGGGGCAACCCUGAUCCAGCCAUGCCGCGUGAGUGAAGAAGGCCUUCGGGUUGUAAAGCUCUUUCGGCCGGAACGAAAUCGCGCACGUGAAUAACGUGCGUGGAUGACGGUACCGGAGUAAGAAGCACCGGCUAACUACGUGCCAGCAGCCGCGGUAAUACGUAGGGUGCGAGCGUUAAUCGGAAUUACUGGGCGUAAAGCGUGCGCAGGCGGUUCGCUAAGUCAGACGUGAAAGCCCCGGGCUUAACCUGGGAACGGCGUUUGAAACUGGCGGGCUCGAGUACGGCAGAGGGGGGUGGAAUUCCACGUGUAGCAGUGAAAUGCGUAGAUAUGUGGAGGAACACCGAUGGCGAAGGCAGCCCCCUGGGCCGAUACUGACGCUCAUGCACGAAAGCGUGGGGAGCAAACAGGAUUAGAUACCCUGGUAGUCCACGCCCUAAACUAUGUCAACUAGUUGUCGGGGAAGCAAUUCCUUGGUAACGCAGCUAACGCGUGAAGUUGACCGCCUGGGGAGUCGGUGCAAGNUUAAACNCAAAGGAUUGACGGCUGAGAGUGCGAGGCGACGACGAGGAGAGG
This 611-nucleotide ribosomal RNA is filed under the name uncultured bacterium. RNAcentral describes it as "bacterial SSU rRNA". It matches the Rfam family "Bacterial small subunit ribosomal RNA", at positions 338 to 946 of the family's 1533-position model. The record is from RNAcentral.